AGCUGAGGGCACCCGGCUUAGACACGACUGACGGCUAGCCACAGGGAUCACUUGAUUAUGCAGGAGACGAUAUUGGGACCACCCCUACGUGCAAGAUUGAGGAGCGUCUCAUCAAGUCUCCACCUGUCCAUUACUGCGUGGACAGUGCUUGUGUGGGGUCUCGUCAGAAGGGAGCGGGGUCGACACCUCUAUGGACACCACACCCUCUAACGCCCCCACCACUAUCAAACUAGGGGGCACUCCACAACUUGAGCCACACCCAAUACCCUCGUGAAACCCCUCCCCCUUUUCAAGUAAUGGUCAGAGUGUGCAGGGGAUCCCUCCUUGAUGUUUUCGGCAGUCACAAAGUACUCUCGGAUCUGCAGGACUACACCUACCUAUAUCAGGACAUGACGAGCUCAAGCACACCUGUCCAGCAACAUUUUCUCCAUACAACGCCUUCUCAUGGAUCUGACCAAUGAGGUUGCGUAACACCAGGUG
Long non-coding RNA from Halichondria panicea, 480 nucleotides. RefSeq lists it as uncharacterized. NCBI's taxonomy places the organism in Eukaryota, Metazoa, Porifera, Demospongiae, Suberitida, Halichondriidae. The transcript is spliced from 4 exons. The record is from RefSeq and is a predicted model, not a curated record.